GAGGGUAGAGCUCAACGAUGGAGCAUGUGCUUAGCAUCCACGAGGUCUUGGGUUCAAUCCCCUGUACCUCCA
RNAcentral lists this transfer RNA (72 nucleotides) under Camelus bactrianus (Bactrian camel). It matches the Rfam family "tRNA". From Rfam's summary of the family: Transfer RNA (tRNA) molecules are approximately 80 nucleotides in length. Their secondary structure includes four short double-helical elements and three loops (D, anti-codon, and T loops). RNAcentral also lists the same sequence under 2 other names. The record is from Rfam by way of RNAcentral. Lineage: Eukaryota; Metazoa; Chordata; Mammalia; Artiodactyla; Camelidae.